UACCUAGGGUGCAAGCGUUAAUCGGAAUUACUGGGCGUAAAGCGUGCGCAGGCGGUUUUGUAAGUCUGUCGUGAAAUCCCCGGGCUCAACCUGGGAAUUGCGAUGGAGACUGCAAGGCUAGAAUCUGGCAGAGGGGGGUAGAAUUCCACGUGUAGCAGCGAAAUGCGUAGAGAUGUGGAGGAACACCGAUGGCGAAGGCAGCCCCCUGGGUCAAGAUUGACGCUCAUGCACGAAAGCGUGGGGAGCAAACAGG
RNAcentral lists this ribosomal RNA (253 nucleotides) under uncultured bacterium. RNAcentral's name for it is "partial 16S ribosomal RNA". It matches the Rfam family "Bacterial small subunit ribosomal RNA", at positions 524 to 776 of the family's 1533-position model. The record is from RNAcentral.